AUUACAAAUAUACUGGCAGGGAAGUGGCUGUAUAUUUUAAAUCAUUGUGCCCAUAGAGCAUUAGCACUGAUGAAGUUCAGCCUGUUAUUUUGUUUGGAGACCUAACUUGUGAAGAUUGAGGGUCUACCAGCACAAAUUCACUGAUCAAUGCUGCAGAUAAG
This is a long non-coding RNA of Megalobrama amblycephala (Wuchang bream), 161 nucleotides long. RefSeq lists it as uncharacterized. NCBI's taxonomy places the organism in Eukaryota, Metazoa, Chordata, Actinopteri, Cypriniformes, Xenocyprididae. The record is from RefSeq and is a predicted model, not a curated record. The transcript is spliced from 3 exons.